AGCAGCAGCCGCGGGAAUACGUAGGGUGCGAGCGUUAAUCGGAAUUACUGGGCGUAAAGCGUGCGCAGGCGGUUUUGUAAGACAGGCGUGAAAUCCCCGGGCUCAACCUGGGAAUGGCGCUUGUGACUGCAAAGCUAGAGUGCGGCAGAGGGGGAUGGAAUUCCGCGUGUAGCAGUGAAAUGCGUAGAUAUGCGGAGGAACACCGAUGGCGAAGGCAAUCCCCUGGACCUGUACUGACGCUCAUGCACGAAAGCGUGGGGAGCAAACAGGAUUAGAUACCCCGGUAGUCCCUGUCUCUUAUAC
RNAcentral lists this ribosomal RNA (303 nucleotides) under uncultured bacterium. Its description in RNAcentral is "partial 16S ribosomal RNA". It matches the Rfam family "Bacterial small subunit ribosomal RNA", at positions 507 to 807 of the family's 1533-position model. The record is from RNAcentral.